RNAcentral lists this non-coding RNA (602 nucleotides) under Thermoactinomyces vulgaris. RNAcentral's name for it is "bacterial LSU rRNA". It matches the Rfam family "Bacterial large subunit ribosomal RNA", at positions 1940 to 2542 of the family's 2925-position model. Lineage: Bacteria; Bacillati; Bacillota; Bacilli; Caryophanales; Thermoactinomycetaceae. The record is from RNAcentral.
CUAUAACCAUCCUAAGGUAGCGAAAUUCCUUGUCGGGUAAGUUCCGACCUGCACGAAUGGCGUAACGACUUCCCCGCUGUCUCAACCACAUGCUCGGCGAAAUUGCAGUACGAGUAAAGAUGCUCGUUUCGCGCGGCAGGACGGAAAGACCCCGGGACCUUUACUAUAGCUUGGUAUUGAUGCAUUGCUUGGUUUGUGUAGGAUAGGCGGGAGCCUGGGAAGCUGCGACGCUAGUCGUGGUGGAGGUGUUGGUGAAAUACCGCUCUGAUCUGGUGGUGUGUCUCACCCGCGGCCCUGAUCGGGUCGGGGGACAGUGCCUGGUGGGUAGUUUAACUGGGGCGGUUGCCUCCUAAAUGGUAACGGAGGCGCCCAAUGGUACCCUCGGGCCGGUUGGAAACCGGUCGGUGAGUGUAAGCGUAGAAGGGUGCUUGACUGUGAGACCGACGGGUCGAGCAGGUGCGAAAGCAGGGGCUAGUGAUCCGGCACCGACGUACGGAUGUGGUGUCGCUCAACGGAUAAAAGGUACCCCGGGGAUAACAGGCUGAUCUUCCCCAAGAGUCCAUAUCGACGGGAUGGUUUGGCACCUCGAUGUCGGCUCGUCG